UACAUCAACUGCCACAGAAUCAGGGAUUCUUCCAGCAAUGAACGGAGGAACCUCACAACUGCAGAAGGCCCCUCAACAAGAUGCGCAGCAGGGAAAUUCCUUUACAUUCCAGAUUUUUCAACGUACUCUAGAAGAGAUUCUUGAUUCCUUUCAGAAAUCAGUACACGAAGAUAUGAGGAACCUUCAUAUAGAAAUUUUAAGACAAUUCCACCUGCAAGAGACGGUAUGUCAACGGUAUGAACAAAAUUCUGGCAAACCAAUAAGCUGAGCUAAUGGAAGAAGUUAAAUCUCUGUGGAAAGAAAACCAGCAACUCCGGCAGUUGCUCUGAGCUCUGGUGAAGAUUGUAUAUAGUGUUAAUGAUUUUUGUGGAUUGGAAUAUGCCCUCUGUUUGUGCUUUACAAUUUGCCCUUCGUUAAUGGGCUUCUGUUCAGUAGAAAGUUUGGGGGUUAUUUUUUUCCUAGUUUAGGGUUUCCUUUUCGGCAAUGAAACGUUUGGCAUUCUGUACACAUUAUAAUGAAACAUCUUGAUUUU
Molecule: long non-coding RNA, 532 nt
Organism: Rosa chinensis
Lineage: Eukaryota; Viridiplantae; Streptophyta; Magnoliopsida; Rosales; Rosaceae
Exons: 3
Source: RefSeq, a predicted model, not a curated record